This 73-nucleotide transfer RNA is filed under the name Phycisphaerae bacterium. RNAcentral's name for it is "tRNA-Glu". It matches the Rfam family "tRNA". Rfam says of the family: Transfer RNA (tRNA) molecules are approximately 80 nucleotides in length. Lineage: Bacteria; Pseudomonadati; Planctomycetota; Phycisphaerae. RNAcentral also lists the same sequence under 4 other names. The record is from RNAcentral.
GCCCUCAUCGUCUAGAGGCCUAGGACACGGGCUUUUCACGCCUGUAACUGGGGUUCGAAUCCCCAUGAGGGCA